UACGAAGGGGGCUAGCGUUGCUCGGAAUCACUGGGCGUAAAGGGUGCGUAGGCGGGGCUUUAAGUCAGGGGUGAAAUCCUGGAGCUCAACUCCAGAACUGCCUUUGAUACUGAGGAUCUUGAGUUCGGGAGAGGUGAGUGGAACUGCGAGUGUAGAGGUGAAAUUCGUAGAUAUUCGCAAGAACACCAGUGGCGAAGGCGGCUCACUGGCCCGGAACUGACGCUGAGGUGCGAAAGCGUGGGGAGCAAACAGG
RNAcentral lists this ribosomal RNA (253 nucleotides) under uncultured bacterium. Its description in RNAcentral is "partial 16S ribosomal RNA". It matches the Rfam family "Bacterial small subunit ribosomal RNA", at positions 524 to 776 of the family's 1533-position model. The record is from RNAcentral.